ACGGGUGAGUAAUGUCUGGGGAUCUGCCCGAUAGAGGGGGAUAACCACUGGAAACGGUGGCUAAUACCGCAUAACGUCGCAAGACCAAAGAGGGGGACCUUCGGGCCUCUCACUAUCGGAUGAACCCAGAUGGGAUUAGCUAGUAGGCGGGGUAAUGGCCCACCUAGGCGACGAUCCCUAGCUGGUCUGAGAGGAUGACCAGCCACACUGGAACUGAGACACGGUCCAGACUCCUACGGGAGGCAGCAGUGGGGAAUAUUGCACAAUGGGCGCAAGCCUGAUGCAGCCAUGCCGCGUGUAUGAAGAAGGCCUUCGGGUUGUAAAGUACUUUCAGCGGGGAGGAAGGCGACGGGGUUAAUAACCCUGUCGAUUGACGUUACCCGCAGAAGAAGCACCGGCUAACUCCGUGCCAGCAGCCGCGGUAAUACGGAGGGUGCAAGCGUUAAUCGGAAUUACUGGGCGUAAAGCGCACGCAGGCGGUCUGUUAAGUCAGAUGUGAAAUCCCCGGGCUUAACCUGGGAACUGCAUUUGAAACUGGCAGGCUUGAGUCUUGUAGAGGGGGGUAGAAUUCCAGGUGUAGC
RNAcentral lists this ribosomal RNA (581 nucleotides) under uncultured bacterium. RNAcentral's name for it is "bacterial SSU rRNA". It matches the Rfam family "Bacterial small subunit ribosomal RNA", at positions 102 to 679 of the family's 1533-position model. The record is from RNAcentral.